Molecule: long non-coding RNA, 347 nt
Organism: Ruditapes philippinarum (Manila clam)
Lineage: Eukaryota; Metazoa; Mollusca; Bivalvia; Venerida; Veneridae
Exons: 4
Source: RefSeq, a predicted model, not a curated record
AUUUUUGAAAUGGUUGUACAAGUGCCUAUAUUUUGACAUCAUGUUUGUGUAUUUAAAAUCGUGCAGACGAGAUAUUAUUUUCAUUCUGGCAUCGACAUGAAAGUAGUUCUUAUACUUAUAGCGUUGUUGGUAAUUGGCCGAGCAGAGGCUGGUCCUUUGAACAACGUUGGGGAUGGGUAUGGUCGACUGGGCAGGGCUUUAAGGUCAUCUGACACUGAUGAGAAAACACCUAAAGAACCGGAACCAAUAAAGGUAGAAUGAGAUGUCAUCAUUGUCUGACACCCACCACAGUAGAGCACCCACUACAUUGUCGUGUAUUUCCCAAACUCAUGUUGUUCUAAGAAGUA